RNAcentral lists this ribosomal RNA (746 nucleotides) under Salmonella enterica. RNAcentral describes it as "partial 23S ribosomal RNA". It matches the Rfam family "Bacterial large subunit ribosomal RNA", at positions 1 to 688 of the family's 2925-position model. Lineage: Bacteria; Pseudomonadati; Pseudomonadota; Gammaproteobacteria; Enterobacterales; Enterobacteriaceae. The record is from RNAcentral.
GGUUAAGCGACCAAGCGUACACGGUGGAUGCCCUGGCAGUCAGAGGCGAUGAAGGACGUGCUAAUCUGCGAUAAGCGCCGGUAAGGUGAUAUGAACCGUUAUAACCGGCGAUUUCCGAAUGGGGAAACCCAGUGUGACUCGUCACACUAUCAUUACGUGAAUACAUAGCGUAAUGAAGCGAACCGGGGGAACUGAAACAUCUAAGUACCCCGAGGAAAAGAAAUCAACCGAGAUUCCCCCAGUAGCGGCGAGCGAACGGGGAGGAGCCCAGAGCCUGAAUCAGCAUGUGUGUUAGUGGAAGCGUCUGGAAAGGCGCGCGAUACAGGGUGAGAGUCCCGUACACAAAAGCGCAUAUGCUGUGAGCUCGAUGAGUAGGGCGGGACACGUGGUAUCCUGUCUGAAUAUGGGGGGACCAUCCUCCAAGGCUAAAUACUCCUGACUGACCGAUAGUGAACCAGUACCGUGAGGGAAAGGCGAAAAGAACCCCGGCGAGGGGAGUGAAACAGAACCUGAAACCGUGUACGUACAAGCAGUGGGAGCCCCACCACUAAGCCAGUGGUGAACUCCACAUACGCAUCCUUUGCGGAAGGUGCGGUUAACGGAGCGUAAGCGACGUUUAACCUCAAAAAAAGCAGAGGGGGCUUAGUGGUGGGGUGACUGCGUACCUUUUGUAUAAUGGGUCAGCGACUUAUAUUCUGUAGCAAGGUUAACCGCAUAGGGGAGCCGAAGGGAAACCGAGUCUUAAU